RNAcentral lists this transfer RNA (715 nucleotides) under uncultured Synechococcus sp. RNAcentral's name for it is "partial may contain 16S ribosomal RNA, 16S-23S ribosomal RNA intergenic spacer, and 23S ribosomal RNA". The stretch from base 186 to 258 matches the Rfam family "tRNA". The record is from RNAcentral. Lineage: Bacteria; Bacillati; Cyanobacteriota; Cyanophyceae; Synechococcales; Synechococcaceae.
UCAGCUUUGAAGUCAAGGAUCAGCAGCAAUGUUGAUUGCUUGAUGGAGAUUUUUAGUUCCUAAACUUUGUCUAGGUCACACCCCAAAAGGGAUGAGACUCCUGGGCCAUUAGCUCAGGUGGUUAGAGCGCACCCCUGAUAAGGGUGAGGUCCCUGGUUCAAGUCCAGGAUGGCCCAUUCGGUGUUGGGGGUUUAGCUCAGUUGGUAGAGCGCCUGCUUUGCAAGCAGGAUGUCAGGAGUUCGAGUCUCCUAACCUCCACUGACCGAACUUGAUUCCCAUCUCCAAUUUUUUGGAGUUGAGCUCGAUUGGAGUGUGAUUUAGAUGUGUCCGCUGGAUGACCCCAGCUUCCUGUCAUUCCAAGUUUUAGAUUUUAAGUCUUAAAUUUGGUUGAUAAGAUGCUGGGCUCGGAUCAAAUAAUCAAGCAAUUGAUGAUUUGAUUUGAAGUUCUAGCAGAACCUUGACAACUGCAUAGGUGAAGUCUGGAAAAACAAAGCAUCUUACAGAUGCAUUGUUUUGAAUCUGAUCUUCUGAAAGGGAGAUUGGAUCUAGAACAAUGAAAAUUCUUUUGAGCAAGAGCCGAGACUCUUAAAUGUUCUUUGAUUCGUGUCGAGCGAAUCAGAGUUUGAUCUUGUUUUUAGCAAUAAAAACUUGAGAAUCUGCUUUCAACGGCGGUAAGCGUUUAAGAGGUUAAUUGGUCAAGCUACAAAGGGCUCAC